Molecule: ribosomal RNA, 559 nt
Filed under: uncultured bacterium
Lineage: Bacteria
Description: bacterial SSU rRNA
Rfam family: Bacterial small subunit ribosomal RNA
Source: RNAcentral
AAUAGAUACCCCGGGUAGUCCACGCCGUAAACGAUGGAUGCUAGCUAUUGGGGGGAAUCGACCCCCUCCGAAGCGAAGCUAACGCGUUAAGCAUCCCGCCUGAGUAGUACGAGCGCAAGCUUAAAACUCAAAGGAAUUGACAGGGACCCGCACAAGCGGUGGAGCGUGUGGUUUAAUUCGAUGGUAAACGAAGAACCUUACCAAGGUUUGACAUCCCGGUAGCCGUUCUCCGAAAGGAGAAUUUCAUUUAGUUGGACCGGUGACAGGUGAUGCAUGGCCGUCGUCAGCUCGUGUCGUGAGAUGUUGGGUUAAGUCCCGCAACGAGCGCAACCCUUAUGAUUUAGUUGGAUUUUUCUAAACAGACUGCCCUGGUAACAGGGAGGAAGGAGGGGAUGAUGGUCAGGUCAGUAUUUCCCUUACACCUUGGGCGACACACGCGCUACAAUGGCCGGUACAAUGGGCAGCUAAGCCGCGAGGUGGAGCAAAUCCCAUCAAAGCCGGUCCCAGUUCGGAUUGCAGGCUGAAACCCGCCUGCAUGAAGCCGGAAUCGCUGUAAACC